RNAcentral lists this ribosomal RNA (483 nucleotides) under uncultured bacterium. RNAcentral describes it as "partial 16S ribosomal RNA". It matches the Rfam family "Bacterial small subunit ribosomal RNA", at positions 28 to 507 of the family's 1533-position model. The record is from RNAcentral.
GACGAACGCUGGCGGCGUGCUUAACACAUGCAAGUCGAACGCUGAAGCUCAGCUUUUGUUGGGUGGAUGAGUGGCGAACGGGUGAGUAACACGUGAGUAACCUGCCUCCUUCUUUGGGAUAACGCCCGGAAACGGGUGCUAAUACUGGAUAUUCACUGGUCUUCGCAUGGGGGUUGGUGGAAGGGGUUUUUUGGUGGGGGGAUGGGCUCGGGGCCUAUCAGCUGGUUGGUGGGGUGAUGGCCUACCAAGGCUUUGACGGGUAGCCGGCCUGAGAGGGUGACCGGUCACAUUGGGACUGAGAUACGGCCCAGACUCCUACGGGAGGCAGCAGUGGGGAAUAUUGCACAAUGGGCGCAAGCCUGAUGCAGCGACGCCGCGUGAGGGAUGGAGGCCUUCGGGUUGUGAACCUCUUUCGCUCAUGGUCAAGCCGCAACAAUGGUUGUGGUGAGGGUAGUGGGUAAAGAAGCGCCGGCUAACUACGUG